This 2941-nucleotide small RNA is filed under the name Pongo abelii (Sumatran orangutan). RNAcentral's name for it is "retained intron". Lineage: Eukaryota; Metazoa; Chordata; Mammalia; Primates; Hominidae. The record is from RNAcentral.
AGGGUAAAGCAGGGGCACUGCCAGGCCUCCGAAGGAGUGUGCUUGGCCUGGCCGAGGGCUGCUUGGCCAAGUCUGGGUGGACUCGAGGCCACUAGGCCCAAAGCCUGCCUGGCUGUGAGGGUGCUAGGUCUAGAACCGUGCACGAGGGGAAUGCCUGCUCGGGCCCGAACUUCGCUAGGCGCAGGAUGUGCACUGGCCCAGGGCCUGCUUGGACCUGAAACUCGCUAGGCCCAGGAUGUGCACUGGCCGAGAGCCUGCUGGGCCCAAACCUUACUAGGCCCAGGAUGUUCACUGACUGAACCGGCUCAGGCCUAACCUUGCUAGGCCCAGGAUAUGCACUGGGCCAGAGUGUGCUCAGGCGGAACCUUGCCAGGCCCACGGUGUGUGCUGGCCCUAAGUCUGCUGAGGCCUAAAACCUGUUCGUUCUAGGGUUUUGUACAAAAUCCUGCUUUAGCCUAAAUCCUGCUUAGCCUUGACCCCCUCCUAGACCCAGGCCAGAUCAGCAUUGUUCUGACCCUACUAGGUCCAAAGCCUUUUGAGGCCAGACCUUGUUUCAACUCCAAAGCCUGCUAGGUUCCAGCACCCCCCAUCCCUCCUCAUACCACCCCCUUCUCCCCCUAUGAAAACCGCUUGCUUAUUUUUCAAACAGGCCAAGUCAUCAUGGCAGCCACUGAGAUCUCUGUCCUUUCUGAGCAAUUCACCAAAAUCAAAGAACUCCAGUUGAUGCCGGAAAAAGGCCUGAAGGAGGAGGAAAAAGACGGAGUGUGCAGAGAGAAAGACCAUCAGAGCCCUAGUGAGUUGGAGGCAGAGCGUACCUCUGGGGCCUUCCAGGACAGCGUCCUGGAGGAAGAAGUGGAGCUGGUGCUGGCCCCCUCGGAGGAGAGCGAGAAGCACAUCGUGACCCUGCAGACGGUGCACUUCACUUCUGAAGUUGUGGAGUUGCAGGAUAUGAGCUUGCUGAGCAUACAGCAGCAAGAAGGGGUGCAGGUGAUGGUGCAGCAGCCUGGCCCUGGGUUGCUGUGGCUUGAGGAAGGGCCCCGGCAGAGCCUGCAGCAGUAUGUGGCCAUUAGUAUCCAGCAAGAGCUGUACUCCCUGCAAGAGGUGGAGGUGUUGCAGUUCCACGCUCUAGAGGAGAAUGUGAUGGUGGCCAGUGAAGACAGUAAGUUAGCGGUGAGCCUGGCUGAAAGUGCUGGACUGAUUAAGCUCCAGGAAGGGCAGGAGAAGAACCAGUUAUUGGCUGAAAGAACAAAGGAGCAGCUCUUUUUUGUGGAAACAAUGUCGGGAGAUGAAAGAAGUGACGAAAUUGUUCUCACAAUUUCAAAUUUAAAUGUGGAAGAACAAGAGGAUCAACCUACAGCUGGUCAAGCAGAUGCUGAAAAGGCCAAAUCUACAAAAAAUCAAAGAAAGACAAAGGGAGCAAAACGAACCUUCCACUGUGAUGUCUGCAUGUUCACCUCUUCUAGAAUGUCGAGUUUUAAUCGUCAUAUGAAAACUCACGCCAAUGAGAAGCCUCACCUGUGUCACCUCUGCCUGAAAACCUUCCGUACAGUCACUCUGCUGCGGAACCACGUUAACACCCACACAGGAACCAGGCCCUAUAAGUGUAACGACUGCAACAUGGCAUUUGUCACCAGUGGAGAACUCGUCCGACACAGGCGCUAUAAACAUACUCAUGAGAAACCCUUUAAAUGUUCCAUGUGCAAGUAUGCCAGUGUGGAGGCAAGUAAAUUGAAGCGCCAUGUCCGAUCCCACACUGGGGAGCGCCCCUUUCAGUGUUGCCAGUGCAGCUACGCCAGCAGAGACACCUACAAGCUGAAACGCCACAUGAGAACGCACUCAGGUAAGGGCUCUGGUGCUGAAGGCCUGAUACCUACAGUGUUAACUCUUAAAGCAAGCUUUAAAAAAUUACUUUUUAUUGGCACAAUUAAAGUUCAAAGGUAAAAGUGGAUUUUUGCAUGCCUUCAUGAUACGAGAAUCUUGAUCUGUACCUUUACCUUUAUUUAGCAGUAAGAGAGUCUGCAUAGAUACUGUGCCACAACCCCACUGUGUGGAGUAAAACACGAAGUAUUUGCUUCCAUAGAUUUUUCAGGUAUUUAAAACUCAACUCCUGGCCAGGCAUGGUGGCUCAAACCUGUAAUCCCAGCACUUUGGGAGGCUGAGGCAGGAGGAUCCCUUGAGUCCAGGAGUUUGAGACCAACCUGGUCAACAUAGGGAGACCCUGUCUCUACGAGUAAUUUAAAAAUUAGCCGGGCCUGGUGGCGCACACCUGUGGUCCCAGCUACGUGGGAGGCUGAAGCAGGAGAAUCACUUGAACCCAGGAGGUUGAGGCUGCAGUGAGCCGGGAUUGUGCCACUACACUCCAGCCUGGGUGACAGAGUGAGAACCUGUCUCAAAAAAAAAGUAAAUAAAAAUAAAUAAAAGUCAACUCCUUAAUUCAUUCUUCAACUUUAAGGCAAAACAUAAAGUGUGCUGGUUUUGUAACAGAGGUACUUGAUGUCUUGUGUUAAGAAUACAUUUAUGUGUACUUCUUGGUUCUUCGUACAGCCCCAUGGAUGUGAACUCUUGCAUAGCCACCAGAUGCGGGGAAGUCAUGCCUCUGGUCCAUCAUGGACACAGCUGUACUUGACAUAAGCUGUCUGGGCUUGAUUUGGGAGUCUCAUACUAAUUGGGGGUUGUCCAGUGAGAAGGGGGUUGAUAAAGGAGGCUUGGGGCAAAAGAAACAUUUUCAGCACAGGUGGCCUUUGGCAAGGAUCGGGCCUGGAGGGGUAUCACUUUGUUGUCUGCAUCUCAGGUGAGAAGCCUUAUGAAUGCCACAUCUGCCACACCCGCUUCACCCAGAGCGGGACCAUGAAAAUACAUAUUCUGCAGAAACACGGCGAAAAUGUCCCCAAAUACCAGUGUCCCCAUUGUGCCACCAUCAUUGCACGGAAAAGCGACCUAC